AAGAACAAUAGGCAUGUAAUGGUGACGUUUGAUGCAAACACCAAAGCGAUUGGAGUCACCACCGAGACAGCUGCUCCCGCCCAAGCAGAUAGGUGGUUGUUGGCUUAUGAUGCGAACAGCAACUGAGAUGGCUGGCCCUGCACAAACAUGUAAUUUAGCAUGUCAGCACCAAGGUGUUAAAAAUCAGUCUUCCUGAAUGUGUACUAGCAGGGGAUUCUGAUGGUAGCUAUGUAAGA
This is a non-coding RNA of Phoenix dactylifera (date palm), 236 nucleotides long. Lineage: Eukaryota; Viridiplantae; Streptophyta; Magnoliopsida; Arecales; Arecaceae. The record is from RefSeq and is a predicted model, not a curated record.